RNAcentral lists this ribosomal RNA (253 nucleotides) under uncultured Eubacteriales bacterium. Its description in RNAcentral is "uncultured Clostridiales bacterium partial 16S ribosomal RNA". It matches the Rfam family "Bacterial small subunit ribosomal RNA", at positions 524 to 776 of the family's 1533-position model. The record is from RNAcentral. Lineage: Bacteria; Bacillati; Bacillota; Clostridia; Eubacteriales.
UACGUAGGGGGCAAGCGUUAUCCGGAUUUACUGGGUGUAAAGGGAGCGUAGACGGUUAUGUAAGUCUGGAGUGAAAGCCCGGGGCCCAACCCCGGGACUGCUUUGGAAACUGUGUAACUGGAGUACAGGAGGGGCAGGCGGAAUUCCUGGUGUAGCGGUGAAAUGCGUAGAGAUAUGGAGGAACACCAGUGGCGAAGGCGGCUUCCUGGUCUGCAACUGACACUGAGGCGCAAAAGCGUGGGGAGCAAACAGG